ACCGUAAAGGUGAAAAAAUUUUGGUUUUAAUUAUGAAGAAUUUAAAGAAAGGAAAAGUUUUCUUUAAAAGGUAAAAUUAGGAGAAGAUAAUUCUUUCAUAUUUAAAACUUUGAAAGUUUAAGAAUGAAACUAGGAUUAGAUACCCUAUUAUUAUUAAAAGAAAAUAGAUUAGGUAGUAUUAGAAGGCUUGAAACUUAAAGAAUUUGGCGGUGUUUUAAUCUUACCAGAGGAACUUGCGUUAUAAAUCGAAAUUACCCGUUUUAUCUUACUUAAAUUAAUAUUUGUAUAUCGUCGUAAAAAUAAAACUUUAAAGUAAAUAUUUAAUUUUAUUGAAUGAGAAAUUACAGAUCAAGGUUCAGUUAUAUUUAAGAGAAUGUGAGUUACAAUAUUUUUAAAAAUAAAUGAAUGGAUUCUUGAAAGAGAAUGCUUGAAGGUGGAUUUGGAAGUAAGUCAAAAUAAAAAGUU
Molecule: ribosomal RNA, 465 nt
Filed under: Androctonus cf. gonneti Sc1454
Lineage: Eukaryota; Metazoa; Arthropoda; Arachnida; Scorpiones; Buthidae
Description: partial 12S ribosomal RNA
Source: RNAcentral